Molecule: long non-coding RNA, 1088 nt
Filed under: Homo sapiens (human)
Lineage: Eukaryota; Metazoa; Chordata; Mammalia; Primates; Hominidae
Description: HSALNT0376327
Source: RNAcentral
GGGGACCUACCGACGGCGUGGGACAGGCCUGGGUGUCUCCGGGGCUGCCCAACAGAAGUCUUCCCCACAGGGCACAACUAUUAUGAGGUUCGCCUCCUCCCCCCGGUUAAACAUUAAGCACUAAGAUUUCCCCAAGCAGCUUGACAGAACAUCGUUUUCCUUGAGCAUCUUCCCUGGUAGGCCUGUCAGAAACGGCUGUAACUAACAUAGGCGGCGACGAAACCUAGGAAAACCUAAAGGAGGGGGGCCGGGUGGAGUCGGGGGGGAAUCAAGCCUCUUACUUUGAGGGAAAAAAAAAUCAGGACAAAGUACAAAGUUGUCCACUAUGCAAACCGUGCACCGGUCGAGUUAAGUGUAUAACGCUGGACAACAAACCAUUUUUGAACACUUGGGAAAAUCUUGACUACCUUGCACAACGGCAUGUGGCAGAAGUGAUGUCCAGGGUCUCCCGAGGCUGGGUCGGAGGCAUCCUUACAGCUCCCAUCUGGGUCUACCGGAAUCGUCUUGGAGGUUUGCGCCGCCAUGGAAGAAGGCUGACUACGCAGGCUGCCGUGUCGUGAGGAAGCCCGAGGCUUUGUGGAGAGAAAUGCAUGGAAACGGUUUCAGUCCCCAGCCGAGACCCUAGGCAUCAGGGAGCAGAACAUCAAAACUGCGGACUUGGGAUACAAAUGAAUGAUCACUGUUGUUGCAAAGCCCUUACGUUUUGAGGGUGGUCUUUUCGUGAAGCAAUAGAGAAACGGAACGGGGAGACGGACAGUGAGCAGACAAGCAAUAAUACGAAGCAGAAGGGGGAAAAACGUGGACCAAGGGAUAGAGAAGAGGGCAUGGAGAGAAAAGGCUGGGGUUGAGGGCUUAACAUAUUAGACAAGGGGGUCACGGAAAGCCUCCCUGCUUCUCUCUGUUUGCUCCAAACUCUUGCUUCUCUUUGCUUGCUCAGCAUCAGCGCAUAGCGCAUAGAACCCCCAAAGGCCACCCCACAAUGGCAGCCUCAGCCCCAGAAUUUACGUGUCCUGUUACAAGUCCUAGGGCCACAACAAACUCUCUGGACUCAUUUGAUUUUCUUCUAAUGUUUUAUACACACACACACA